Molecule: long non-coding RNA, 1153 nt
Filed under: Hordeum vulgare
Lineage: Eukaryota; Viridiplantae; Streptophyta; Magnoliopsida; Poales; Poaceae
Description: long non-coding RNA (HVUL_LNC003474)
Source: RNAcentral
UGACAUCGGCCGCCCUUGCAUCGUGCAGGAGCGCGGAGGGCAAGUGGGCCCAUGAACCCUUUGUGCUUAGGAGUUAGACCGGCGGGCUGGCCUCUCUGUUGAGUCUUAGGUGGGGCUGCGACGUGUCGAUAUUCUGAGGCCGGGCAUGACCCAGAAAAGUGUGUCCGACCAGAGUGUUAUCGAGCGUGACGGGAAACUUGGUGCACCACUGCAGGGAUGAAAAUUAACUAUUCGGAUAGCCGUGUCCACGGUUACAGGACGACUUGGAGUUGUGCCCUGAUCUUAUACAACUACAACUGUUACUUAACUGGAAUUAGUUGCCCCGGGAUUGCUUCCUCGUGGGGAGUCGAGGGAGGAUCUCUGGGCGUGACUUCAUAUUAAUAUUGCUGCAACUAUAUGACUAUUAGUUGUGUUACCUUGCUCUACUCUCGUCUAUUGCUGCAAGAUCCUCAAGAUGCUAGUCCUCGAUAGGACUAGGCAUUCUCUCUCUAUUCUUGCAUUGCUGCAGUCAAUCCUCAUAUAACCACCCCCCUUCUUUGAUACUGAUGCAUACUUCGAAUAGUUCUGAUGUAAGACUUGCGAGUAGUUUGGAUGAGUACUCACCGUUGCUUUGCUCCCCCGUUGCCCCCUUGAUCCGUUGCUGCGACCAGAUGAUGGAGCCCAGGAGAUGGAGGUUCCCGCCGACGAUGACUGCUACUACGUGGAGGCCGCUGAAGAGCAGGAGUAGUUAGGAGGUUCCCAAGCAGGAGACCUCGCCUUGUUCGAUCGUUGUAUCUUUUGUGCUAGCCUUCUCUAAGGCACCCCAUGUUUUAUGUCUGUACUCAGAUAUUGUUGCUUCCGUUGACUAGUGUGUUUAUCGAGCUUUUGUAUUCUAGCCCUCGAGGCCCCUGGCUUGUAAUAUGAAGCUUAUAUUAUUUUAUUUGUGUCUAGAGUUGUGUUGUGAUCUCUUCCCGUGAGUCCUUGGGUAUGAUCGUACGCAUUUGCGUGUAUGAUUAGCAUACGAUUAAAUCGAGGGCGUCACAGAUACCUCGUGUUGGUGUGAACUGAUCCAGUUUCUUUCCAUUGAAUAAAACUAAGGAUGAAACUGACUGCACCAUGCUCAUCAUUGUUGUGAUCCAAGGUUGUGCAAAACCCAUUUUUUCCAUCAUCGCCC